Molecule: long non-coding RNA, 731 nt
Organism: Gallus gallus (chicken)
Lineage: Eukaryota; Metazoa; Chordata; Aves; Galliformes; Phasianidae
Exons: 2
Source: RefSeq, a predicted model, not a curated record
ACACCCGAAAUGCCGCAGCCCGGGCAGGACUUAGCUCGGGCAGGGCUUGCCCUCAGGAAGGAUUUAUCCCUCGCUGUAGGGCUGUAGGUAAGGGAUUAGGAUUAGGAUGAGAAUUAUGGGGUUGACUGAGCCCGAACGGGGUUUGGGCUUGGAGCCCCCGGGUAGGCCCUGCGCUGUUGCUAGGCAACCGGCUCCGCCAUUACGUCCGCUGCCCCGACAGGGUAGGAGGAAGAAAGGGGGCGUGGACGUUCCCUCUGCUUCCGCCUUCUGCCGCCAACGCGUGCUCCCAUUGGCUAGGUACGCUGCCGUUGGCUGGGCACGUGCUGCCAUUGGCUGGCUCUCCUAAAAGACUGACAGAUGCUGCUUUUCUCUGCCACCUUCAGUGAAACUGUGUGGAAGUUCACCUUGCAGAUCAUCUCCAGAUCCAUCAUCACGAAGCUGCGGCAGGAGGACCUUGCCCUGACCAACACCAGACUACUGCUUUGUCUGCAGGAACUGGGAGCAGAAGCAUGCAGCCCUCUGCAACCUCUAUGGCAGCAUUUCCAGGCCUUAAUCUUCUGCCAGGUACAGCUCAUUUGCAAGCAGUGAGCUGCCAGUGAUCCAUCUGACAUGAUCAACCCCAGUGUGAUGUCAGCACUGCUUCAAAGAUCACCAAAAACUAGGGAACAGGUGCAAGGGAUGGAUGGGAAACACACAGUCAGAAUUAAAAGCUGAAAGUGGUAACAACAACA